AGGAGGACAGAGAUGACUCACUCAAGCAAAAAAUGUUUCUUUUUUAAAGGAACAGAUGCCCAAUUUCCAGCCAUUCAGAAGAGGUGUCUAUGUGACUGUUUAUGUCAGAAUUAAUCAUGUGCAUGGUCCUUAGUCCCAGGGAAGCUGAAAGACCUGGAGGUGUUGCCGUUGCUGUAUGGACAUGGAAAGCUGGCUCCUGCCCAGCACACAGUGAGGACAGGUCUGCUUUAACUCAAUCUCCAAGUGGUUUCCACCCUCUUGAAUCUCAGAUCUGAAAGCAGAUUUGGACCUGUAAGUGUCCCUAAGAAAGCCAAGAAAGUCCCAACCUCAGCUCAACUGCAACACACCCUUCCCAUUCAUCUGGAUGUGACACUCUUCAAAGAUAAACACUGACAGUGAAACCAAAAUCCCCUGAGUGUGCAUGCCGUUUGUUGCCAACUUGGGAGAUUGUAUGUAACUAACACAUGGGCCAGGGUGGUAUGGUUUGUGGAUUCGAUGGGGCCACUCCUUCCUCCUCGACUCUCUGGCAGCUGUCAUUGGCUACUGCCUUUGACUCCUCCACCAGAGUGUGGCAAGGGAAAGGAAAAGAGAUUCCAUUCACAUCUAUCUCAUUCCUUUCUGGGCCUUGUAGGGAGAGACUCAAAGAGUUGUUUAAGACAAAGAUUUUAGCAGCUGCGGUUUUAAGUUUUUCUUUUGGUAUUGAAAUGAUUAGACAGUCAUGGGGCGUUUACAAUGACUGACCUCAACCUGCAUAUUCUGAAGCUUGUUGAUUGCCAACACCUAGCCCUUCCGCUUUCUCAAA
Long non-coding RNA from Sapajus apella (tufted capuchin), 802 nucleotides. RefSeq lists it as uncharacterized. The record is from RefSeq and is a predicted model, not a curated record. NCBI's taxonomy places the organism in Eukaryota, Metazoa, Chordata, Mammalia, Primates, Cebidae. The transcript is spliced from 2 exons.